Molecule: ribosomal RNA, 154 nt
Organism: Protopterus annectens (West African lungfish)
Lineage: Eukaryota; Metazoa; Chordata; Ceratodontiformes; Protopteridae
Product: 5.8S ribosomal RNA
Exons: 1
Source: RefSeq, a predicted model, not a curated record
GACUCUGAGAGGUGGAUCCCUCGGCUCGUGCAUCAAUGAAGAACGCAGCUAGCUGUGAGAACUAAUGUAAAUUGCAGGAUACAUUGAUCAUCGACACUUCAAACCCACUUUGCAGCACCGAGUUACUCUCGGGGCUAUGCCUGUCUGAGGGUCG